GGUUCGCCUACAUUUCAAAGAAAGAGGACGCAAAGUGCCACUCGUUCAGCCUUUAAAGAACAACUUCCCACAGGUUAUUUGAUGUGUUCGUGGUUUCAUUUCAACUAUGCUUAUUGCGUUAUGCUUCGUAUGUAAAAUAUUUUCGAGUGUGCUAUGCUUAGUAUUUGUCUUAAGUUCUUAUGUUUGCAUUGGUAUAAAGUAUAUAUGUUAUUGUUCAUGCAUGUUAUGUAAAAUAUUUUCGAGUGUGUCACUUGUUUAAUGAAUGUUAGAGUUGCCAUAUUCAUUUUAAAUAAUAUAUGAUCAUAGGGUUCGAACUUGUGGCCAUGGAUUAUAUAUGAUUCAUUUAAUAAUAUUAAUUACUACUUGGUGUAUAUGAAAAGAAAAAGAGCAAUGCGUGGAGAGGUCUGAAACUGAUAAGACAGAGGGUGAUACGUCUAGUAAGCGUAUAUGUUACACACGCGAAGAAGAAGGAAAGGAAGUAGCGGAGAUUGGUAAGAGUGAAUAUAUAUUCUAUAUUCGUUCAUAAUAUAAUCUAAUGACCAUAAACAUAAAUGUUCAUGACUUGUGCAUAUUUGGUGCAAGGAAAAUAUGAAAGCAAGAAGGCAUCGGUUGUUAAGAAGAAACGCAGGCUGGUACUCAUGAACCCAGAGGAUGUUCGGUGCAAACGUAGGGGGUGUAGGGAUAGUAAGCCAAAGGAAGUGGACAAUGUUGGCGACGAAGAGUUUCCCAAGCUCAACACAAGAACAACUCUCGCUGCUCUCAAUGAUAGCCUGAAAUUACUGAACCAU
Molecule: long non-coding RNA, 788 nt
Filed under: Salvia miltiorrhiza (redroot sage)
Lineage: Eukaryota; Viridiplantae; Streptophyta; Magnoliopsida; Lamiales; Lamiaceae
Description: long non-coding RNA (SMIL_LNC006860)
Source: RNAcentral